Molecule: ribosomal RNA, 489 nt
Filed under: uncultured bacterium
Lineage: Bacteria
Description: bacterial SSU rRNA
Rfam family: Bacterial small subunit ribosomal RNA
Source: RNAcentral
GAUGAACGCUAGCUACAGGCUUAACACAUGCAAGUCGAGGGGCAGCAGGGAUUUAGCUUGCUAAAUCCGCUGGCGACCGGCGCACGGGUGCGUAACGCGUAUCCAACUUUCCCGUUACUCAGGGAUAGCCUUCCGAAAGGGAGAUUAAUACCUGAUGGUGUUUGAAGUUCGCAUGUUCUUCAAACUAAAGAUUUAUCGGUAACGGAUAGGGAUGCGUGACAUUAGAUAGUAGGCGGGGUAACGGCCCACCUAGUCUACGAUGUCUAGGGGUUCUGAGAGGAAGGUCCCCCACACUGGAACUGAGACACGGUCCAGACUCCUACGGGAGGCAGCAGUGAGGAAUAUUGGUCAAUGGUCGGAAGACUGAACCAGCCAAGUAGCGUGAAGGAUGAAGGUUCUAUGGAUUGUAAACUUCUUUUAUACGGGAAUAAAACCUCCACGUGUGGGAGCUUGUAUGUACCGUAUGAAUAAGCAUCGGCUAACUCCGUG